AAAAGAUAAGCUAAUUUUAAGCUAGUGGGUUCAUACCCCAUAAAUGUGAGCUGAAUCUCACUCUUUUU
Molecule: transfer RNA, 68 nt
Filed under: Ibacus ciliatus (Japanese fan lobster)
Lineage: Eukaryota; Metazoa; Arthropoda; Malacostraca; Decapoda; Scyllaridae
Description: tRNA-Met
Source: RNAcentral